GAUGAAGAACGCAGUGAAAUGCGAUACGUAAUGUGAAUUGCAGAAUUCAGUGAAUCAUCGAGUCUUUGAACGCACAUUGCGCCCCCUGGUAUUCCGGGGGGCAUGCCUGUCCGAGCGUCAUUGCUGCCCUCAAGCACGGCUUGUGUGUUGGGCCUCCGUCCUCCUCCCGGGGGACGGGCCCGAAAGGCAGCGGCGGCACCGCGUCCGGUCCUCGAGCGUAUGGGGCUUCGUCACCCGCUCUUGUAGGCCCGGCCGGCGCUUGCCGACACAUCAAUCUUUUUUCCAGGUUGACCUCGGAUCAGGUAGGGAUACCCGCUGAACUUAAGCAUAUCAAUAAGCGGAGGA
This 345-nucleotide unclassified non-coding RNA is filed under the name soil metagenome. RNAcentral's name for it is "partial contains 5.8S ribosomal RNA, internal transcribed spacer 2, and large subunit ribosomal RNA". The stretch from base 1 to 120 matches the Rfam family "5.8S ribosomal RNA", at positions 35 to 154 of the family's 154-position model. The record is from RNAcentral.